UUGUCCGCUAUAGCCUUUCAUUUCCCAACUUUCUACUUCACUUUUAAUUUUGAAGGCUGUGUACUUCUCUCUUUCUCCCUCUCUUCUCGUCUGUCUCUCUUUCCCUCCUCUAACCCUAACAAAACCAAAAUUUUUUCCUUCAUCAUUGUUCAUCUCUCUCAUCAAAUCCGAUAACCUCCACACUCCCUUCAUCAAGUUCGGCGUACUUUCAGUCUCGUCGGAGGUAAAUACAUAUCUUCAAUGGCGGUAGUGACGCGAUUCCGGCGGGGUAUAUGCGAUUCUGGCGAUGGAACUCGCAAAUUUGCGGUCUGUUAACUGUUCCAGGGUGUAGCACUUGGAUGACAAUCCUUGUACCGGCUAGCAUGACUUCUUAUCUUUAUCUCUAUUCUCAUGGGGAAGUAUCAUUGGCUGCAUCUCAACCAUUCUCCAAAAGUCAUGUCAAGACCACCAAUUUAAAUCAGUGACUUGAAUCGGUUGUACCAUCUUGAAGCUAUUAUACAAGAUGCAAAGGUUCAACAACAACUUUACUGUGUAGUUGUCUAAAAGAUUUCCUGCUAUGCUUUUCUUCAUUCAUGUUAAUCACAUGGCAUUUGAUUCCCAUAGUUCCAUCUCAAUUUCUUUUUAUUUAGUUUGGUUUCAUUGAAUCAUUGGACUUAAUAAUAUUUUUAAAUUAUAUCUCUUAAAAUUUAAAAACGUAUUUAAUCUUUUUCCUUUGACUUUUUUCCAUUUUGCACAGAGAAAAGGCAACGCAGCUCCUGUUGGGAGAAGGAGGAAGCCUACUGAUAUUUUAAACGGGACAACAUUUGCACGAUCUGUAAAUAUUCUUCUUUCUCCACAUCAGUUAUCCAAUGAAAUAGUCAAAGUCUGAUGCAAAUUUAUUAAACUGCUUCCAAUCCCUCAGGGUUACGGUUGGUUUACUUUGAUGAGACUUCAACACAUCCAAUAUUUUCAUUUCCAGCCACUUUCCCAUGUCUAUUUGAUAACAUACAUUAUUACUUAUAUACAACUAUUGCUCUUUGUUGUAACUUGUAAUGUGAAAUCAGAUAGUCAGUAGUAUAUUAAAUGUUUAUUGCUUUGUUAAGUAUUGUACAGUUAUAUACUUCCAUGCUUGCAAGUAAUAAUGUGAUGCAGCCAAAACUAAUUUUAAAAACCAUCCUAAUUUCUUUUAAAAUGCAGCCGAAAAUUCAUGUUAUGUUCUAUUUUUUUGGGUCUGUUUCACUACUUCUACUUUAACUAUUUUUCUAUAUAUGUUAAAUACUUUAUCUAAAUUACAUAUUUUAGACCAUUUCCAUUUACUAUAAGAAUAAGAUACAUUAUUAUCAUAUAAGAAAUAUUAUUCUUACACUCACUUUUACAUCUACACCAUAUUAUAUACGGUACAAUUCAUUUUUUGCUUUUUAUUUUAUU
Long non-coding RNA from Vicia villosa (hairy vetch), 1407 nucleotides. RefSeq lists it as uncharacterized. The transcript is spliced from 4 exons. Lineage: Eukaryota; Viridiplantae; Streptophyta; Magnoliopsida; Fabales; Fabaceae. The record is from RefSeq and is a predicted model, not a curated record.